CCUACGGGAGGCUGCAGUGGGGAAUAUUGCACAAUGGGCGCAACCCUGAUGCAGCCACGCAGCGUGAGCGAAGAAGUAUUUCGGUAUGUAAAGCUCUAUCAGCAGGGAAGAAAAUGGCGGUACCUGAGUAAGAAGCUCCGGCUAAAUACGUGCCAGCAGCGGCGGUACUACGUCUGGAGCCAGCGUUAUCCGGAUUUACUGGGUGUAAAGGGAGCGCAGGUGGCUUUGCAAGUCUGAUGUGAAAUCCCGGGGCUCAACCCCGGAGUUGCAAUUGAUACUGUGAGGCUGGAGUGUCGGAGAGGCAGGCGGAAUUCGUGGUGUAGCGGUGAAAUGCGUAGAUAUUAGGAGGAACACCAGUGGCGAAGGCGGCCUGCUGGACGAUGACUGACGCUGAGGCUCGAAAGCGUGGGGAGCAAACAGGAUUAGAUACCCCAGUAGUC
RNAcentral lists this ribosomal RNA (440 nucleotides) under uncultured bacterium. Its description in RNAcentral is "partial 16S ribosomal RNA". It matches the Rfam family "Bacterial small subunit ribosomal RNA", at positions 338 to 795 of the family's 1533-position model. The record is from RNAcentral.